Molecule: non-coding RNA, 31 nt
Filed under: Mus musculus (house mouse)
Lineage: Eukaryota; Metazoa; Chordata; Mammalia; Rodentia; Muridae
Source: RNAcentral
UACCUGUUCAUCAAAGAAAAUGACAAUGCUG